Molecule: long non-coding RNA, 2560 nt
Organism: Brassica rapa (field mustard)
Lineage: Eukaryota; Viridiplantae; Streptophyta; Magnoliopsida; Brassicales; Brassicaceae
Source: RefSeq, a predicted model, not a curated record
AUUUUUGUUUAUUAUUUUAUGUAAUUUAUAAAUAUAUAAAAAAAUCACAUUAUUACUUUUUCAUAGUUUCAACAAUUAGUUACCAUAAAUAAUCAUUUCUAAUAUUAUGUAGAUUAUUUGGAAAGUGGUAAUUGAAUUAUCUUUUCCUUUUAGAUAUAAUUAUAAUAAAUACAAUUAUAAAUCAUCGGUCAAUCAAAUUAUAACAAUUUGAAGAGUUCAUCUGUGAUCAACACAUAAUAAAAACUCACUUAUGUGUCUUCUCAAUUAAUAUAUAGUAAGAUUUAUAUUUUUAUAAAUAAUUUAUAACAUUAUAAAAAUAAUUUUAUAAUUCUGAUAAAUGUAUCCUGUAAACAACGAUAAAUAAUUUAAAAAUCAUAUUAAUAGACAUUUUUGGAUUUUGUAAUAUUUAAAAUAGUUAUUAUAUAAUUAUAUUCAAAUACAAUUCAUCAAGUAAAGUAUAAAACUAUUAUAAUUAUCUUAUAUAAAAAUUUGUUUAUUAUAUUUUAUAAUUUAUAAAUAUUAAAAGUAAUAAAUAAAACAUUAUUAAUCUUUCUAUAAUUUCUAGAAUUAGUUGACGUAAAUGGUUAUUUGUAAUAUUCCUUAGAUUAUAUGGCAAGUGAUGUUAAAUAUUUUUAGACUUACCUUAAAUUUUUAGAUCUAAUUUAAAUAAAUAAAAAUUAAAAACAAUCGACCAAUCAAAUUAUAACAAUUUUUUGAAACUUCACCUAUGAGCGACACGUCACCAGAAAUCACUAAAGUGACUUCUCAUUUAAUAUAUAGAGGGAUUAAAAUACACUAUCCGCGCGUAGCGUGGAAAAAGUCUCUAUUUAUUUUCCGGCGCUACGCACCGUGUUUGUAUGUUUUAUUUUAAUGAUUUUAAAAUUAAUUUUAUGUUCUUAAUAAAUAAAUUACUUUUAAAUAUAUGAAGAUGAUAAUAUGUUGAAAUAGAAUGGUAAUUGUUUUGAGGGAAAAUUGCCAAAAAUACAAUUUUAAAAGUACCAUUUUUCAUGCUUACACUAACCCUUUUUAUUUUCAUCUUUAAUGAAGGGUAAAAGACAUUUAUAACCUUUUGAUUAACUUUGACAAAAAACAUAUGGUUAACUAAUCUAAACUUAAAACAUAAACUCUAAAUCCUAAACCAACAAACAUCAACUCUAAACCCUAAAUCCCAAAACAUCAACUCUAAACCGUAAACCUUCAAAUCUAAACCCUAAAACAUCAAGUCUAAACCUUAAACCCUAAAUGUAAACUUAAAACAUCAACUGUAAACCCUAAAUCAUCAACUCUAAACCAUGAAACAUCAACUCUAAACCCUAAACCUCGAAACAUCAACUAUAAACCCUAAACCCUAAACUUUCAAAUCUAAACAUCAACUCUAAACCCUAAACGUAAACCCUACACCCUACACCCUAUAUUUUUCUGAAAUUCGAACCCUAAACCCUAAAACCCUAAACCUUCAAAUCUAAACCCUAAACCAUCAACUCUAAACCCUAAACAUAAACCCUAAACCCUAAAACCUUAAAACCCUAAACCUUCAAAUCUAAACCCUAAAACAUCAACUCUAGGGUUUUAGGGUUUAGGGUUUAGAGUUGAAGGUUUAGGGUUUAGGGUUUAGAGUUGAUGUUUUAGGGGUUUAGGGUUCGUAUUUAAAAAAGGUUUAGGAUUGAUGGUUUAGGGUUUAGAGUUGUGUUUUAGGGUUAGGGUUUGAAUUUUGGAAAUAGUAUAAUUUGAAAAAAAAUUAAAAAAAUUAUUUUUUAGAUUUUUAUUUAUUUAAAUAUUUAUUUAUUAUAUAUAUAAAGAACAAAUGCAUAAGAGUCUUUUGCCACCUAAUGAAAAAGAUAUUUUUGAAAAUUUCGUUUUAGUGGUGGUAAAAAUAAAAAGUGGUAGCAUGAAAGUGGUAAACAUGUAAUUUGCCCUUGUUUUGAUUCAUUUGAUAGAAGUGUAUUAUUUUGUUUUGAACUUUCUUUGGUCCAAGAGGAAUAACAUAAGUAGUUUUAAUUUUUUGUAUUUUGUUUUAUAUUAUUAAAUUUGAUUAUAUUAAAAUAUCACUAUUUAAUUUUGGUUAGAUUUAAAAUGUAUUAUUUAUAUUAUUUAAAUAUAUUUAAUCAGAUAUUAUUAUAACAAAAAUUUAAAAAUUUCAGUUAUAUUUUAAAAUGUGCUGCUUGGUGAUCUCUCUUUAUUCAGGUGCUGAAGAAAUUUUUAGAUUUGAUUAGUAUAAACAUUUAUCCUCUCAUGUCUCUAAAUAAAAUCAAUUAGUAUUUUAAAUCAACCAACCUCUAUUUAUAUAAUGAAAAAUUAUUUUCUCAUUAAUUAUAUUUUAAUUAAAUAGGCAACCAAAAUUUAUAAACUUUAAAACGAAAUUUUGAAUAAAUGUUAAUUGUUAAAUACAAAUGAAAGUAAAGUUUAGUUGUUUCAAAUAAGUUAUGGUGGGACAUUCCAAUUUCUAAAAUAGUUAAAUAUUUGUUUUUUUUUUCUUGGGACACUGAUUUUUUAGAUUUUUUUCUUGUUCCAUAAAGAUAGUUUUUCUAUAUUGUUAAGGUAAUUUGUUUUUAUACCUUUG